Sinocyclocheilus anshuiensis is the source of this 166-nucleotide long non-coding RNA. RefSeq lists it as uncharacterized. Lineage: Eukaryota; Metazoa; Chordata; Actinopteri; Cypriniformes; Cyprinidae. The transcript is spliced from 3 exons. The record is from RefSeq and is a predicted model, not a curated record.
GCUAAUGAGGCCCUCUUCACCGGAAAACGAAAUGCAGCCAUCAAAGGCUUUGAAGCUUUUGUGAUGGAGCAGGGCCUGCAAGACAGGGUGACGGCGGCCUUUGUAAAAAAAAAAAUGGGAAAACCUCAAACAAAAAUAUAAAGAUCACAAAUGUCCAGCAACCGGU